GGUGAGUAACACGUGGAUAACCUACCUAUAAGACUGGGAUAACUUCGGGAAACCGGAGCUAAUACCGGAUAAUAUUUUGAACCGCAUGGUUCAAAAGUGAAAGACGGUCUUGCUGUCACUUAUAGAUGGAUCCGCGCUGCAUCAGCUAGUUGGUAAGGUAACGGCUUACCAAGGCAACGAUGCAUAGCCGACCUGAGAGGGUGAUCGGCCACACUGGAACUGAGACACGGUCCAG
RNAcentral lists this ribosomal RNA (235 nucleotides) under uncultured Staphylococcus sp. Its description in RNAcentral is "partial 16S ribosomal RNA". It matches the Rfam family "Bacterial small subunit ribosomal RNA", at positions 105 to 334 of the family's 1533-position model. Lineage: Bacteria; Bacillati; Bacillota; Bacilli; Caryophanales; Staphylococcaceae. The record is from RNAcentral.